GAUGAACGCUGGCGGCGUGCCUAAUACAUGCAAGUCGAGCGAAGCGGGGAAGGGUGAGUAAAACGUGGAUAACCUCCUAUAAGACUGGGGUAACUUCGGGAAACCGGAGCUAAACCGGAUACGUAUAGAUGGAUCCGAGCUGAAUUAGCUAGUGGGUAAGGUAACGGCUUACCAAGGCAAAGAGGCAUAGCCGACCUGAGAGGUUGAGCGGCCCCACCGGAACUGAGACACGGUCCAGACGCCUACGGGAGGCAGCAGUAGGGAAUCUGCCGCAAUGGGCGAAAGCCUGACGGAGCAACGCCGCGUGUGUGAUGAAGGUCUUCGGAUCGUAAAACUCUGUUAUUAGUGAAGCGGUACCUAAUCAGAAAGCCACGGCUAACUACGUGCCAGCAGCCGCGGUAAUUC
This 405-nucleotide ribosomal RNA is filed under the name uncultured bacterium. RNAcentral's name for it is "partial 16S ribosomal RNA". It matches the Rfam family "Bacterial small subunit ribosomal RNA", at positions 28 to 526 of the family's 1533-position model. The record is from RNAcentral.